This 466-nucleotide ribosomal RNA is filed under the name uncultured bacterium. RNAcentral's name for it is "partial 16S ribosomal RNA". It matches the Rfam family "Bacterial small subunit ribosomal RNA", at positions 28 to 507 of the family's 1533-position model. The record is from RNAcentral.
GAUGAACGCUGGCGGCGUGCUUAACACAUGCAAGUCGAACGGAAAGGCCCAAGCUUGCUUGGGUACUCGAGUGGCGAACGGGUGAGUAACACGUGGGUGAUCUGCCCUGCACUUCGGGAUAAGCCUGGGAAACUGGGUCUAAUACCGGAUAGGACCACAUUUUGGAUGGUGUGGUGGAAAGUUUUUCGGUGUGGGAUGAGCUCGCGGCCUAUCAGCUUGUUGGUGGGGUAAUGGCCUACCAAGGCGUCGACGGGCAGCCGGCCUGAGAGGGUGUACGGCCACAUUGGGACUGAGAUACGGCCCAGACUCCUACGGGAGGCAGCAGUGGGGAAUAUUGCACAAUGGGCGCAAGCCGGAUGCAGCGACGCCGCGUGGGGGAUGACGGCCUUCGGGUUGUAAACUCCUUUCGCUAGGGACGAAGCGUUAUGUGACGGUACCUGGAGAAGAAGCACCGGCUAACUACGUG